This 76-nucleotide transfer RNA is filed under the name Aminivibrio sp. RNAcentral's name for it is "tRNA-Thr". It matches the Rfam family "tRNA". From Rfam's summary of the family: Transfer RNA (tRNA) molecules are approximately 80 nucleotides in length. Their secondary structure includes four short double-helical elements and three loops (D, anti-codon, and T loops). Lineage: Bacteria; Thermotogati; Synergistota; Synergistia; Synergistales; Aminobacteriaceae. The record is from RNAcentral. RNAcentral also lists the same sequence under 4 other names.
GCCGGUGUAGCUCAGCAGGUAGAGCAGCUGACUUGUAAUCAGCAGGUCCCCGGUUCGAGUCCGGGUGCCGGCUCCA